Molecule: long non-coding RNA, 172 nt
Organism: Hibiscus syriacus
Lineage: Eukaryota; Viridiplantae; Streptophyta; Magnoliopsida; Malvales; Malvaceae
Exons: 3
Source: RefSeq, a predicted model, not a curated record
UGUAAUUAAGCUCCUUGAAAUUGCACAAGUUCCUGAUGCACAUGUCAAUGAAUUCAAGUCCAUUGAGAAAUUUAAAAUUUUCAAUACAAACAAUUUGUGGGUGAACCUGAAAGUAAUAAAGAGGCUCGUGGAAGCUGAUGCACUCAAGAUGGAGAUCAUCCCAAACCCAAAG